CCCGGCUUUGCUGUCCCCACAGAGAAGAAGCUGGAGGAGUUCUCCGUGGAAGAGGCCGAGGUGCUACAGAUCCUCACACAGGUCAACGUGGUGCGAAGAGAGUGUGAGAUCAAACUGGAGGCGGCCCACUUUGACGAAAAGAAGGAGAUCAACAAACGGAAGCAGCUGAUCCUGGAGGGGAAGGACCCUGACCUGGAGGCCAAGCGCAAGGCUGAGCUGGCCAAGAUCAAGCAGAAGAACCGGCGCUUCAAGGAGAAGGUGGAGGAGACGCUGAAGCGACAGAAGGCUGGCAGGGCUGGCCACAAGGGGCGUCCACCCAGGACCCCGUCUGGGUCCCACUCAGGCCCAGUCCCCUCCCAGGGCCUGGUCUGAGCCCCACACGGCCAUCUGCCCAGUCCUCGACUCAUCCAUGGAGCUGAGGGUCGGAGGAACCUUCCUUGGGGGCAGCAGCCCUUCCCGGGGGCCUACCCAGUGCCCCACAGCAGAACCCGUGGGCGCUCGUGUUGUGCGGGCCCUGCUCCUCUGCCCCGAAACCACUGGCUGGCCCCUUCCCUGAGCCCUGGCCAAGAAUCAGGCUGCAGGGGAAGAAAGAAC
Molecule: small RNA, 594 nt
Filed under: Pan troglodytes (chimpanzee)
Lineage: Eukaryota; Metazoa; Chordata; Mammalia; Primates; Hominidae
Description: retained intron
Source: RNAcentral